RNAcentral lists this long non-coding RNA (241 nucleotides) under Nicotiana benthamiana. RNAcentral's name for it is "long non-coding RNA (NBEN_LNC003816)". Lineage: Eukaryota; Viridiplantae; Streptophyta; Magnoliopsida; Solanales; Solanaceae. The record is from RNAcentral.
CAAGCCCAGAUAUCAUCUACAUAGUGUGCGAAGCAAUCGCCAACAUAGUACAAUAUAUCCCUCGGAUUGGACCUAGUCACAAUUUCCAAUAUAUACGACCCUGCACUAGCCGUGGAGUGCGUGUCUAUCCUCAUAAUAACGUCACAAUGUAUUAUGCCAGGGUUUCAAACUUUGGGUCAUCAUCUACACGCAUUACUCACCUGAAGCCGGACGCAAACUAGCUCACAAUGCCUUUCCAUAG